RNAcentral lists this unclassified non-coding RNA (196 nucleotides) under uncultured fungus. RNAcentral's name for it is "partial contains 18S rRNA, ITS1 and 5.8S rRNA". Lineage: Eukaryota; Fungi. The record is from RNAcentral.
AGGUGAACCUGCGGAAGGAUCAUUCAUAAUAAGUGUUUAUGGCACUUCUUAAAUCCAUAUCCACCUUGUGUGCAAUGUCAGCCGUUUUCUUUAUGAAAGCGGCCAAACAUCAACUUAUUUUUUAACUGUCUGUCUGAAAACUAUUAUGAAUAAACAAUUCAAAUACAACUUUCAACAACGGAUCUCUUGGCUCUCG